UGGACCCUGCAUUUGAAGUCAGACAGGC
Molecule: non-coding RNA, 28 nt
Filed under: Homo sapiens (human)
Lineage: Eukaryota; Metazoa; Chordata; Mammalia; Primates; Hominidae
Source: RNAcentral